Molecule: long non-coding RNA, 349 nt
Organism: Numida meleagris (helmeted guineafowl)
Lineage: Eukaryota; Metazoa; Chordata; Aves; Galliformes; Numididae
Exons: 3
Source: RefSeq, a predicted model, not a curated record
GUCCAGUCCUCCUGCUGGAGCAGGAACACCUAGAUUAGGUUACACAGACCCGUUUCUCCCGGCCUCUCCUCACAGAGUAUGGACUUCAUACUCCUAACCCCUGUAGCAGCGCUUCACUGGUAGAUUUAUGAACAGAAAAAGGAAUCACAAGAGAUUUACAGCAAACGCGCGCUCAGGAAUAUUCAGUGUAAUCACUGAGCCACAGAACUUCCACUGAACAGAUGUUCCACCAGGAAACAAGACUGCACCCAGUGAAAACAGUACCAAAGCAAGCUAAUACGUCGGACAAGCUAGCCAGUGAGGCUUGAACAAAUGGAAUAGCAGCAAAUAAAGGCAAACUUCCAACAAA